RNAcentral lists this ribosomal RNA (563 nucleotides) under uncultured bacterium. RNAcentral's name for it is "bacterial SSU rRNA". It matches the Rfam family "Bacterial small subunit ribosomal RNA", at positions 66 to 653 of the family's 1533-position model. The record is from RNAcentral.
ACGGGUCCGAUUUAUCGGGCUAGUGGCGAAUGGGUGAGUAACGCGUAAGCAAUCUGCCCCUAAGUAGGGGAUAACUUUGAGAAAUCGGAGCUAAUACCUUAUGUGGUGGUGGGGGUAAGGCUCCAUCACUAAAGCCUUAGGGCGCUUGGGGAGGGGCUUGCGUCUGAUUAGCUAGUUGGUAGGGUAACGGCUUACCAAGGCGAUGAUCAGUAGCUGGUCUGAGAGGAUGGUCAGCCACACUGGGACUGAGACACGGCCCAGACUCCUACGGGAGGCAGCAGCAAGGAAUAUUGUGCAAUGGGCGAAAGCCUGACACAGCGACACCGCGUGGGGGAUGAAGGCUUUCGGGUUGUAAACCCCUUUUCUCAGGGAAGAAUAAUGACGGUACCUGGGGAAUAAGCCUCGGCUAACUACGUGCCAGCAGCCGCGGUAAUACGUAGGAGGCGAGCGUUAUCCGGAUUUACUGGGUGUAAAGAGGGCGUAGGCGGUUCUUCAAGUCGGAUGUGAAAUCUCCCGGCUUAACCGGGAGGGGUCAUUCGAUACUGUUGGGCUAGAGGACAGCA